Molecule: small nucleolar RNA, 144 nt
Filed under: Pelobates cultripes (western spadefoot toad)
Lineage: Eukaryota; Metazoa; Chordata; Amphibia; Anura; Pelobatidae
Source: RNAcentral
CCUCUGUGAUGAUACGAUGACGAGUCAGAGAGGACACUCUGUUCAGAGAUCUUGUUCAGGGUCACGUUCUGUGUUUCUGUACUUGGUUGCUGUGCAGAUUACGUCCUUUAUACUGAUUGAACUUGAGGCAUUUGUCUGAGAAGG